RNAcentral lists this ribosomal RNA (484 nucleotides) under uncultured bacterium. Its description in RNAcentral is "partial 16S ribosomal RNA". It matches the Rfam family "Bacterial small subunit ribosomal RNA", at positions 30 to 507 of the family's 1533-position model. The record is from RNAcentral.
AUUGAACGCUGGCGGCAGGCCUAACACAUGCAAGUCGAGCGGAUGAAGGGAGCUUGCUCCUGGAUUCAGCGGCGGACGGGUGAGUAAUGCCUAGGAAUCUGCCUGGUAGUGGGGGAUAACGUCCGGAAACGGGCGCUAAUACCGCAUACGUCCUGUGGGAGAAAGUGGGGGAUCUUCGGACCUCACGCUAUCAGAUGAGCCUAGGUCGGAUUAGCUAGUUGGUGGGGUAAAGGCCUACCAAGGCGACGAUCCGUAACUGGUCUGAGAGCACGAUCAGUCACACUGGAAGUGAGGCACGGUCCAGACUCCUACGGGAGGCAACAGUGGGGAAUAUUGGACAAUGGGCGAAAGCCUGAUCCAGCCAUGCCGCGUGUGUGAAGAAGGUCUUCGGAUUGUAAAGCGCUUUAAGUUGGGAGGAAGGGCAGUAAGUUAAUACCUGGCUGUAUUGACGUUACCAGCAGAAUAAGCACCGGCUAACUUCGUG